AUAAAUUGUCCCAGAAUGAGCAAAGCGUGCGAAGCCGUCGUUAAUAAUUAUAAACCAGUCCAUGAGCUAAAAAUAGCACAGCUGGGAAACCCAAGUUAUGACCUCGGAUUAAAUUACGGUCUUGUAAACAAUUUCAGAGAUUUGCCAUCAAAAAGGCUGUAUGAAUCGGAUAGUGACACUGAUGAGAAUGAGACAGACACCGAGAGUAGGCCAUCACAAGUUAUUGACAAAGCAACAACGCCAAACAGGCACGAAGCCUGCUUUCACCUCCACCUUGCUUAUCUGCACAGGCAUUGCGAGAGGCCAGCAGUGAUGUGCAAAGUGCUUCUCUAAUACAAGGUGCUUCUGAUACACCCUCCCGUGGGCAGAUUAUUGGGCCCACUGCUGUUACACAGAUUCUCUGAGUCUUGGAGACAAUGCGGGAGGAGAAUCGUGAAAUUAAGAGGAUGAUGUAGCAAUUGUUGUCAAGGUCAGCAGCAGAUGACCAACCGCUGCAGCUUCCUGAAGAUAUCUCAUUCCCUAUUCGUUCUCCUUAGCAGAUGGAAACAUUCGAUGAGCUUCUGGGAGAUCAGACAAAGCUGUCAUCUGUGGUGCGGUUCCUCUCAAUGUUUGGUGGGGCAGUUGUGCGGGAAACUGUUGACCGCUAGAUGAUAGAAACCAUGUCAAAUGAACUGGCAAGAAUGUUCAAUAUGAAGGGGGCUGAAAGGGAAGAAAACAUUUGGGGGCCUCUAGAUACUGAAUGUAUUGUAUAAAUGUGUCCAAAGGAACUUGCCGGCAAAGACUGCGACGAGGAAGGAUAUUGAAAUAAAGGUUUCAAAGUGGCUGGCUGGGGCGUGGGACCGCGAUGGGGGAAGGAAAGCAAGAAACAAAUUGUCGGAGACCUUACCUGAAGCAAAUGAAGGAAGUGACUAGACAUGUUUUUAUUUUUAAAAAAUGCAAAUCUAUAGAGGAUAUUUGUUUGUUAGUGUGUAAGAUGAAAUUUUAUAUCAUCAAGUGAGCUGUAAAAACAUUAUUCUCACGAGUGAGAACACUGUUAUU
Long non-coding RNA from Ruditapes philippinarum (Manila clam), 1038 nucleotides. RefSeq lists it as uncharacterized. The transcript is spliced from 5 exons. The record is from RefSeq and is a predicted model, not a curated record. NCBI's taxonomy places the organism in Eukaryota, Metazoa, Mollusca, Bivalvia, Venerida, Veneridae.